Molecule: long non-coding RNA, 304 nt
Filed under: Mytilus galloprovincialis (Mediterranean mussel)
Lineage: Eukaryota; Metazoa; Mollusca; Bivalvia; Mytilida; Mytilidae
Source: RNAcentral
UGUGUAUUUUUUUUUAUUUGUUGUUUUGGCUUUAAAUUAGCUUUCAGUAACUGCAAGUACUCUCAGAUAUGUUCUUAGUGUCUUUUUGUGUUGGUAUGUACAAGUAGCCGGCCAUGUCCACUUUGUGUUUAUGUUUUACAGGGAGGAUUGGAAUCCCACUUACAUGUUUCACCUUGCCACAUUCUGUAUGUGUGUGCAUUUCCCAAGUCAGGAGCCUGUAAUACAGUGGUUGUCAUUUGUUGUUGUGUUACAUAAAAAAAAUAUAUUUGUCAAAUUGAUUUUUUUGUUCAUUUGUGAUUUCGGG